This is a long non-coding RNA of Daphnia pulicaria, 784 nucleotides long. RefSeq lists it as uncharacterized. Lineage: Eukaryota; Metazoa; Arthropoda; Branchiopoda; Diplostraca; Daphniidae. The transcript is spliced from 5 exons. The record is from RefSeq and is a predicted model, not a curated record.
AAUGAAGUUAAAAAGAUCAGAACAGAUGUAGAAGCACUGCUCAUUGUAGAAGCAUUAUACCAUGGGAAUUUCGUCUGUUGUCAGUGUUGUGACGCUGAGGUGGUGGCUUUUUGGUGAAGACGAAAAGGGGAGAACAUAACGUGAAUUUCGUGCCAGUUAGUGAAAGCCGAAAGGCAUGUCGAAUUCAAGUUGAGCUGCUGCGUGCAGCGUGCUGUCUCUGGAAGCAAGCAAUCCAGCCGUUGCGUCCUGUCAUUUGAACAGGAAUCUAAUGGCUGUCAGUAGGUGGCUGUGAAUAAGUGGCUGAAAUAAUGUCCACCAGGUGGUGCGAGUGUCUUCAGGGACAGGAAGCAAAGGGGCCAUUUUGUUCCAAGACGCAGCAGAAAUGGGUUGUUGGUUGUGACGUUUCUCACGAUGAAAAUUAAAAGGUGAUGUAGCAUGUAGAAACCAAUUUGCCAAAUCAUUCAACUCGGACUUGGAAGUGCCUGUACAUUUCCGAAAUGGCGUGCCUCGUGUGUCUUGCUGCCUGUUCUUUGGCUUACGUCUCACCCCAUUCAACAGCAAAAAGUAUAACAAACACUUCUUUGUUCAUCUUGUUGCAGCCAAAUGGUGAAAGGUGUGACGAAGACAGAUUGAACUGUUGUAUGCAGCAUGUGGUUGCAGUGUAAUCCAGAAGUUGCUGUGCUGUUGUAGCUGAGCUGUUCCAUCUGGGUUCCUGACUUCAAAAUUUUUGUGUUGUCGUUUUCAUCCGUGCCAUGAAAUUGCUCUGUGUUAACUGUGUGCUGAC